CAAUCCCUGUCUCUCUACCAUGCUAGGUAGAUAGCAGGAUGCGGCCUUGUGGGUGGUAGCUGGUAUGUUGGUGGAAACUCCAUGCUUCCAUGGAACCAGCUGUAGAGGAGUGGUGAUGCAAUGAGCAUCCUGGAAGUUUAGUUGUCAUUUGUCACCUUUUGGAUAAUGGAGUAGAUUUCUGAAGCUAUUUCUCCUUGUUUGGUGUUCUGCCUGCAAUUUGGACAAGUGGACUUCAGAUUAUGUCUUCGUAGACUGAAAGGCUUGGAGAAGCCUGAAGUGCUCUGAAGGCUGCCAACAAAAUGUCAAGUGAGUCCACUGACAAAAAGGAAGAGAAACCUUGGAAAAACAUUAUUGCUUAUGUUCCAUCUGAAUCUGAGCAGCUGACCUGAGGAAGGAGGGAAGCACAGGGAAGUGGAACAUCAGAGAGGAGAAGCCUGGCUCAACUUGGCAGAGAAGGCAUCUUCAGAGAAGGAGUGCCCACACUGACACCUGAAUGAUGACUAGUGCUUAACCAGAUGAACUGGAUGAGAAAGGCAUUUCAGACACAGGGCAUAGCAUGAACAAGGGUCCAGAGAUGAGGGUGCAAGCAGAGUCCAGGGUGCACAGGGAGUUCAGUACAGCUGGAGCUCAGAUGCUAGGGAGAGGAGUAGGGAGAAAAGAGGCUCCAUUACAAAAAUGUAGGCAUGAGAUCAAAGGGAACCUGGAGUACUAUGCUAAGGGGACUCAAUCCUAGGUGAUGGGGAGGCAUUGAAGGAUUUAGGUGAGAUUGGCAUUUAGGAAGCUCACUUGAAGCAGUGUUGAAUGGGUAGGAGUGGGGUAAGACUGGAGCUGGUGCAGCAAUAUGGGUGAGUGUAGCUGUGUGUGAAAAAAGGUCCGAGUUUAAUGGGAAAACUAAGGAGUGUGGGGUGGGAGGAAACUUGAUGAGAGAGGAUUUCCAAGGAUAAUAUUCUAGAUGUGUGGGUUGAUGACAAUGCUGAGAGCAGGGACAGAGGAAGAGAAGCAGGCUUGCUGGGGGGAAAUGAUGAACUUCUUGAGGUUCUUACCAGACACCUAAGUGGAGAUGCCCUUUGGGUGCCACAUGCGCCCACACUGCUGAUAAGGGAUCUGCAUAGUGGGGGGAGAUUUGGAAGUCAAUGAAGCCACAGAUAGGGAUGAGCUUUUCAAAGAAGAGUGUGUGGAGUGAAAGGGUUAGGGACAUAGAACCAAACCCUGAGACCCACUCCACUGAAGGCAAAGAAGAGGAGGAGUAUACAGAGAACACAAGGAAGAAGUGGUCAAAACGUAGAAGGAAGAUUGGUCUCCAGGGGUGGGGGGGGGGGGUCCUGAAUUUGAGCAUGAUUUUUAGUGCACAAUAGAUCCCACAGAGCUUUCAAGAAACACUUGGUGGUUGGUGAAGACCCAAAUAAUGGUGAGUGUGUUUUACAUUUUAGAGUUCCAGGUAAUUUUCCUUCUUGGUAUCAUCUGGUUAUGGUAUAUAAUUUGGAGGAAAAAACUACUUUCAUUCACUUUUUAUUUUUCCUCAGAAAGACUUGAAGAAAUACAAAACCAUAGGACUUUUGGUAUGUGAUGGAGACAUUCCAUACAAUUAGUACAGAACAUAGACAAAUGGAAAAUAUUGUGUUUUGCUUGAAAUUAUCUCUGUGGACUAAAAUGUAAACCUAGAUUUUGCAUAUGCAUGUGUAUUUAUUAAUGACAUUAUUUAACUCUCAUUCUAGAUAGUUUUGUGUUGAACUCUAUUUAGAUGAGUAGAGACAUACUAAUUAUCUCAGUUAAUUAGCCAAAAUAAAUCUACAUAGUUUAACACAUCAAAGAUUUAUUUUCCACUCAUGGUUUAUAUUUACUAUGGGUCAGUGGGAGUUAUGCUCCACAUGAUUACUCAGGGAUUCACUCUGACAUGGGUCCACCGUAUUUUUUUUUUUUUUUUGAGACAGAGUAUUUUUAGUAGAGACGGGGUUUCACCAAGUUGGCCAGGCUGGUCUCAAGCUCCUGACCUCAGGUGAUUCACUCACCUCAGCCUCCCAAAGUUCUGGGAUUACAGGUGUGAGCCAUUGCCAGGCCCACCAUCUUAAAACUGCACCAUCCUCAGCAGGGGAAAAAGAGAGAUGCUGUAUCACAUCCUGUCUCUGCAAUGCUUUGUCUGGGAAGGGGCACGUACCGCUUUGAUCCACAGCACAUUGGCCAGGACUAAGCAUGCAGUCUCAUCUAAUUGCAUGGAGGAGCACAAUUCCUCCAUGGCAGGUGGUACAGUUCUCUGCCACACUCGAUAUUGUAUAAAUCCAGGGUCCCAGAAGAUAGAAGGCAGCAAAAUAUAAGGAAAUUAAUGAUACCUUACAAUUAAUAUUAACAGUAUUACCAAAAUACUUUUCUUAAAAAUUAUGUAAACCCAGUGUGCAUCUAUAUAAUUUUACAAUAUCUAGUUUCAUUAGAAGCAAUUUAUUUUUUAAAACCCAGUUCUUUGGAUUUAGAAAUAUUAUUUGUAAUAUUGUAAUACCACAUUAACAUUACAUUUAUAUAUUUUCCAGUAUCAAUUUAAUUAAGAGUAACUAGACUGUAUUUUAUUGUUGUUUUUAUAUGAAAAUAAGUAUAAAAAUGUAGAAAAUUGCAGUCAUAAAAAGUUUCAGCUACUUUGCCUCUGCCAUAAAACCUAAUCUUGGUAUAAUUAAAAUAUGUCAUGAUAUAUUUCUAUCUUUGCUUUCUGUAGAAACUGUGCAAAUGCUAGACAGAUAAAUCACACAGUCACUUAUAAAGAAUUGAAUUUCAACAAAAAAAAUUACCAAUAGAUGUUUUUUUCUUAUUUCAGUUUAUAAGGAAAUUGCUAGACUAUGAAAAGUUAAAUUUCCCAGUUUUAUUAUACAAUAUGUUUUUAUUUCUUUUGAACUAAAGCAUUCAAUAAAAAGUUCCCAAGUUUGAAAUUACCAAUCAUUUAGAGAGAAUAAAGCUCAUGUGUAAGAUUUGUUUUCUUAGAAGACAAGUUAGGGAAUAGUUCUGUUUUCUUUUCUUGGCUCAGAUUCUACAACUUCAUGGUGGAAAUUUUAUCCUUGAACUUCUAAUGUCAUUUUAUGUUUAUCUUAAGUUUCUAUUUUUAUACUUUAGUAUAAUUUUAGAGUGUUGCCAGUUUCAUAGCAUAUUAAUUACUUUCUUUUUAGAAGAUUAUAUUUAAAAAUAAAAUUAGUAAUUAAAGCACAAUUUGAUUAUAAUAGCAUUCUAUUUCCUGAUUUUGAAUUUAUCAUGAAAUUGAUAAAAAUUAUAACUUGCAGCUGUUUACAAACACUUGUAUAUAUUACACUUUUUCCUAGUUAGGACAUAUUUAUUUCUCAAGCAGACUUUUAAAAAAUGUUUUUAUCUUUAAAAAAAAAAAAACUUUGAGGUUCAGAGUUACACGUGCAGGUUUCUUAUAUAGGUAAACUUCUGCCACAGGAGUUUGUUGUACAGAUUAUUUAGCCACCUGGGUACUAAGCCCAGUGCCCAGUAGUUAUUUUUUUCUGAUCUUCUCCUUCCUUCCAGCCACCUCUUUGUGUCCAUGCGUUCCCAUCAUUUAACUCCCACUUACAAGUGAGAACAUGCAGUAUAUGGUUUUCUGUUCCUGUGUUAGUUUGCUAAGAAUAAUGGCCUCUAGGCUCUAUUCAUGUUCCUGCAAAAGACAUAAUCCCUUCCCCUUUUUUUUUUUUUGAGACAGAGUCUUGCUCUUGUCACCCAGGCUGGAGUGCAAUGGCAUGAUCUGAGUUCACUGCAACCUCUGCCUCCCAGGUUCAAGUGAUUCUCCUGCCUCACCCUCCUGAGUAGCUGGAAUUACAGGUGCCCUCCACCACACCCGUUUAAUUUUUUUAAUUUUCAGUAGAGACUGGGUUUUGCCAUGUUGGCCAGGCUGGUCUGGAACUCCUGACCUUAGGUGAUCCACCUGCCUGCCUCAGCCUCCCAAAGUGCUGGGAUUACAGGUGUGAGUCACUGCGCCCAGCCCAAUCUCUUCCUUUUUUAUGGCUGCAUAGUAUUCUAUGGUGUAUAUGUACCAAGUUUCUUUUUCUUUUUCUUACUUUUUUUUUUUUUUGAGAUGGAGUUUCCCUCUUGUUGCCCAGGCUGGAGUGCAGUGGCACGAUCUCAGCUCACUGCAACCUCCGCCUCCCAGGUUCAAGUGAUUCUCUUGCCUCAGCCUCCCGAGUAGCUGGGAUUACAGGCACACGCCACCAGACCUGGCUAAUUUUUGUAUUUUUAGUAGAGACAGAGUGUCACCACAUUGGCCAGGCUGGUCUCGAACUGCUAACCUCAGGUGGUCCACUUUCUUUAUCCAAUCUGUCAUUGAUGGUCAUUUAGGUGAUUCCAUGCCUUUGCUAUUGUAAACACUGUUGCAGUGAACAUACAUGUGCAUGUGUCUUUAAGGUAGAAUGAUUUCUACUCCUUUGGGUGCAUACCCAGUAAUGGAAUUGCUGGGCCAGUGGUAGUUCUGUUUUUAGUUCUUUGAGGAAUCACCACACUGUCAAGCUGACUUUUUAAAAGAAGUUUUAAAAAAUACACUUUUAUAAAUAGAGUUUUAGAUUUUCAAUUUCAUAUUUUAUGUUGGAUAUUCAGGAGAAACCCUUACUUAUCAGACAAUCUUUUUUCCCCCUCAACUUAAUUUCUGAAUAUCAUUUUAAAACUAUACAUUUAAAUUACUUUACAAGACAUUUAUAUAAAUUAUAGAACACUAAGCUCAUGGCUUUCUCCACCAUCCCCACUUUUUUAAGAAAACAGAAGUCCUUGUAUUUGAAAUUGUGCAGAAAGAUUAACAUGGUAUCAGGAAUCUGUUUUUCUGCAAAUAAUAGAAAACCAACUAACACUGACUAACAGAUUAUAAGAAGUAGGGUAGGGUUGGUGGGUAGCAGGGAGUCCAGGCUGUUCCUGUGGCUCGGCAAAGCCACCAGAACCCAGCUCCUUUAAAUCCCUCUGUUUUGUCACCCUCAACAUGCAGACUUUCUGGCUCAGUCUUGGUGUGCCUUAUGGUUAUGAGGUGGCUGCUGCCCUUCAAACCUCUCAUCCAUGGUCCAGGUAGAAAUAAGGAGGAAGGGGGAAAGCAAAAGGCUACCUCUCAACAAAGCUUUCUUUUAUAUUUCAGACAAAACAUCUUCGUCAGGGCCACUCACAUCUUAUUGCCAGACUGAAUUGAAUCACUAUGCCUAGCAGCAAGGACAGCAGGGAGGCUGAAUAGUUUGAAUUGUUUUGUUAGUAAGAAAGUGGAAAUGGAUACUAAAUAGGCAAUUAGGGUUAUCUCACGAACUUAAGUGAGUUAAAAUAAAGCCACUUGUAUAAUUAAAAACUUAAUAUAACCGUAUAUAUUUGACCAGCACAUUAGAAAUAUUGGAUUUUUAUUCAUAAGUGGCCUCAUUUUAGCUUCCACCCCUAUAAAGAGAGCCACAUUUGAAUAUUUCUCACCUGGGUAUUUCUUAUUAUUUUUUAAAACGACGUUUGAUUAUUUAAGAAAUAAAAUGAGGAGUACUCUUUUGGUUAAUUCCUGAGGUAAGCAGGCAGAUGUAACAGAUCUGAUUAAGGAAAUGCAGAAACCUAAACACACAAAUCCAAGUGUAUACAAUGGUUACUAGAUGAUGAAAUGUUACAUCUCUUAGUUUUGUCCUAUGACAUGUUUUAAUUCUUUUUUAAUUUCUUUACAUGAACUUGCUCCUAUAAAGUCCAAAGCAAGUGUUCCUGAUUGGCACAUAGUGCUUUUCCAACUGGUUCCAUCUCCUGGCUCUGCCAUCUUUGACACAUGGCUUCCAAGGCUGCAUGUUGAUCUGCAUACCUUCCACCUCAUCAUUCAUCCUCCAUUUCCUCAACUCCUUGUACUGCAAAUGCUGCUAUAACAAACAUGCCCAUUUACCAUGUGCAUUUGAGAAAACUUCCCUGGGGGUUGUUCAGAAGGGAAUUUCUGGGUCCUAGUUAAUGGUGCUGGGUUGCUUUCCAGCAUGGCCGCCCCAGCCCCUGCCUGUGUUCCCACCAAUAGUGCACAGCGGUUCCAAGUUCCACCAACUUUGAUGCUAUCCAGCUCUCUAGUUUUGUCAAUCUGAUGGGUCUGUAAUGUCAGAUUUUGGUUUAAAUUUGCAUUUCUAGAAUUAAUGAGUUUGAGAAAUCUUUAUAUGCUUUUUAGCAUCUUGAGUUUUCCCUUCAGUUAAUUGUUUGUUCAUUUUAUUUGCCCAUUUUUCUAUUGGGUUCUGAAAAAAAAAAUUUCUGAUCUCUUUUUAGCUGAUAAACAAGUCUCAUAUAUAGAUUUUCAUAAUUAGAAUUUAAGCAGCCCUCUCUGAAGUGUGGAUUCCUGUUCAAAAUAUUUCAAGUGUUAACUAACCAUUUCUCCUUAUUCUCUCUCUCACAUAUGUACGAUGCUAUUUAUAAUGAAGUAAAUUUGAAGAAAUUAUCACUUUAAUUAUGUAACAAUCUGUCUAGUUAGUUUUUAACUAAGGAUUUCUUUGGAGUAGUUAAUUUAGUUUUAAACUAUCACUGUUUUCUUUAUGCCUACUAUAAAUCUUUUACCAUCUAAAUGCACAAAAACAUACAGUUUUUUUUUUUUUUACCAUUUCUGGGGGUUAAAACUCUCAUCUUAUAGUAAAUUAAACCUAUUAAAAAACUAAAGAAGGUGGGAGGUCUGGUUUUCUUUCUUCUACCUGCCUCGCUCCCUCUCUCCCUCCCUCUCUCUCUCCCUCUCUCUCCAUCUAUCCCUCCCUUUCUCCUUCCCUCUUUCCUUCUCUCUCUCACUCUCUGGUGUGUUAGUCAAAAUAAGAGCCUUGGAAAUUUGGAGCUCUAUGAUUUUGGGGAUGUUUUUAAGGUGUACAAUGUUGUCUAAAGCAGAAUAUCGCAUUUGAGGGAAAUAUUUUUUUAUCCCAGAGAACAUAAAGGCUCUAUAGCCAUAAGAUAUCCACACAAACUGCACCAUUAUCCUGGUUGACGUGGGGCUUCCUUGGACUCUCCAUUCAUACUUAGCCUCUCACCCAGGAGAAGAACAUCCCCAGACUAGUCUGCCUUAGCUCUCCCCAGGAGAUGUUUACGUCAGGGGAAAAAUACAUUCAAACCCAUCUGUCUUGUGUUAAGAUUUCACUGUAUACAGACGAGAUCCUCCAGAGGUCCUUAUUUCAGAAGUCCAGCUUGCCUUCAUGAUGGGCUUACAGUGCAGGCUGAGCAUGCACCUUCACCCCCAGAAAAAUCUGGAGGUUCCACCUAAGCCAGCACACGGUUCUGAAACUGUUACCUUAAAUUUCUGUUUUCAACUAGAAGUGCCUAGUCCUUAAUAAUACACCUGGGGAGACAAACUCAUCAACACCACCUUUAUCCUUGAGUCUAGACAAAAUAUUUACAUUUUUCUGGCCUGAAUCUGGCAGCCAAACCUGUUCAGGCGAGCUGGACACACAUACAGAUUGCACAUUUGUGGAAACCUUCAUUAGGGUUUCCUAGUAGCAAGUCAUCUGUCCCGUGGCCUCUCUGUCAAACAGUCUCUCUGUUGGAGGCACCUCAUAGUGGAAGAACCAGCUUCUAGUAUUUGGGCCAAAAUCUGUUAGAAGCAGGCUUUAAUGAUAGAAUUCUAGCUACUGUUGAGAGACGGAGUACACAGAGGGCCUUUUUAAUCAAAGUACUCUCCUACCAAGUGACAGAGUUAACAUAUUUUUAUAAAGUGCAAAUUACUUUAUCGUUUAUUAACAGAAGGAAAGGAUACAAUGCAGUUUUCCCAUUCCUUAAACGCCUUGUCAGAGGAAGCUUGUGGCUGCUCAUCACUAGUGAGGCAGAUAAAUAGCUACAUUUUUCAGAAGGCCGCCUGCUCAUUGUGGUCACUUCUCACUUUCCAGCUGCCUUACCCACUGCUUAGCUACAUCUGUUGGAUGUGUAGGCGAGCUCUGGAAUGCAGAAUUCCACAUAGGCAAGGAAUGGUGUGGAUGUGUCUGUUAUAUGUAGGUUAUAGCCAGCUCAUUAACAGUGCUGGGAGCCAUGCAGUGGGUUUCACUUUUAUCUUGAAGUCAUGAAACUCUUAGUAGAUUUUGAGCAGGGGAGCAGCAUAAUCCUGAGUGAUAAAAUUUGAGCCCAUUUGGAAAGAUCCUCAUGCCUACUCUACACACUCACUGAUUGUCUUUCAGGUGGCUCAUCCAAGCUGAGACAUGGUGUUUCAAGAGGUGAAACCACAGGGAAAGUUUGAAAUGAAAGUCAUAUGGGAAGAAAGGGAGAGAAGCAAGUUGGAAAUCUUUCUAGAUCACCAUCCCGUAUUGGUACCCAUGCCUCAGUUUAUUUCUGCUGGAGAAGGUGAUGCUAGAAGCUCAGGUUCUCUGUCCUCUCCAUGAUCCUGUGAGCUGUCUAAUAUCCCUCCAUAAAAGCCUGCUGUCUUAAACUAGCUAAAGGUGACUUUCUUGUUUGUAUCUAAGAACUUUCACCAAUACACAUCGCUUUCUCCCUCUCUCUCAACUUACUCUUCACUUCUUUAGGGUAAUGUAAAUUUAAAGUAAUCAGGUUUUCCUGAUUAUGGCACUUCACCCUAUUAUAGAGGCUCACAGCUCCAGAUGUUUCUCCUUUAUAGUGCUUAUUGUAAGUGCAGUUAUAUACUUAUUUAUAGGAUUAUUUAAUAAUCCUUUCUUUCCACUAGAGUGGAAAUUCAGUGAGGGCAAGAACCUGGUGCUGUAGGUGUCUCUGGUGCUUAGCACAGGGUAUGACUCACAGGAGGAACAGAGUUACAGUAGUUGCAGAACAUCUUUGGCAAUGAAUAGUUAAUGAAUAAGGACUUCAGGUUGCUCUAUGUUUCCAGGGUUCUUGUGGGUCUCAGGGCAUGGAAAUGGUCAGAGAUCUUGAGGAUGGUGUUACUGCUCUGGGAGAGUAGAUUGAUUUUCCCUUAUUUCUAAGUCUGUAUUUCCACAUAGUUUGCGCUCCUGCUGUUUUUUAGUCUCUCUCUGGCUUUUCAUAAAAAACACUCAUUUUAUUUUUGGAACAGUACUUGUAUAACCAGGGCUUUUCAGUUCCUAUCUGGUGUGUGUUUGGGGACUGAUUGUAGCUCAAAGUGCUAAAAAGGAAAAUGGCAUUUGUCACUGGGUUGUAGUACUGUACACUCUGCUUUCUUAAAAGCCACAUUUUACUCUUCAAGGCUGAUUAUUCCCUAGUGGUUUGGGUAGACGUUUGGCUCAGGGAUACAACCACAGUAUUCAGAAUGUGACAUCUGUGAUGGAAUCUGGGCUCUGCCUCUCACCACCUGUAUGACCUUGGACAGGAGACCUAAUAUUUCUGGAACUCAGUUGCUUCAUUAAAAUGAGGAUGAAGAUACUUUCAUGGUUGCUGGAAGGAUUAAAUAGAAAAUACUAGUGAAGUCCUGAUCCAAAGUAAAUACUCAGCAAAUCUUUGUAUAAUACAUCUCCAUGCCCUUUCUUUUUCCCCUCUUUCUCAAAAUAAUCUGAGGAGGCCACCCAUGGAGAAUUUUAUCUAGGCUCGACCCCAGAAUCUCUGAAUGAAUGAGUGAAUUAACUCAGUGAAUGAAGAAAGGAAGAUUUGAAUGAAUGAUAAUGUGAGCCAUACAAUUCAUUACUAAAGGAUGCUGGGACAGUAGUGGUGACAGUAAUUAUUUAGUGAGUGCCCAAAGGCUGGACUUUGUGGCAGGCAGUUUACAGAAAUUAUCUCAUGUAACUAUUGUAAGAGUCCUUUAAGAAAGUUACCAUAGUCACCAUUUUACAAAUGAGGAAACAAAACCUCAGUGAAAUUGUCACAUAACAGUGGUGCCAUGACUAGUAAGUGGUUUUACUAAGGUGUCAUGAAAAUAGAAGGCCACAGAUAUGUAUGUGUGUGCGUAGAUGUAUUUGUGGGUAUAUGUAUAUAUGUAUCACACUCAUACAUACAUGUGUAGUAUUUAUCUUAGUCUCCCCAAAAUAGUAGUCAUCCAGGACAUGAUUGUACAGUUAUUGAGUGACUAUAAAUGUUGGUGGUGAUUGGAAGAGUAAAGGCAGAUAAAGUGAAGGGUAGAACAGGAAUGGUAGCUUUGACAAGGUAGCCUUGGGAAGGGGAACACAAAGGCAAUUGACAGAGGGCUUUUGGGGCUACCUUCCUGUUCUUUAGAGAUGAGAGACCUGGGAGAGUUUUCUGAGCCUCUGAGUAAGGCAAGAAGGUUCACAGAUCCCAGGAUCCAAGGCUGCAGGGCUAGUAUCCAGCAAGGGCACUGAUGAAACCAUUGGGCACGUGUGUACAUCUUUGCAUGUAGUGAAUUAAGUGAUGUAUGUCAGCAUCCAGAGCUUUCCCUCUUAAGGGCUUCCAAGUAGCUUUAUAGUUGUAAUAACACUGGAAACACAUGGAAUAUUGACACCCAGUUUUUGAGUGACAUGAAGCAGACUGUCUUGAGUGGACAUAUAGAUUGAAAGCACCAGUUUAAGUUGGAUGGGGAUCCUGUAUGGCCCUGAACCCUGGUAUCACAUAGCCUUGGAUUAUUUGUCUUUCUGUGUUUUAUUUCCUCAUUCGUAGAUGGAGAUAUAAAUGUGUUUAUCUGAUACAAUUUUUGUGAGGUGAAGAUGAAAUAAUGUAUGUAAGGCACAGCACAAUUCCUGGCACCUAGUUAGUGCUUAAUAAAGUACAUAUAUUUAUAAUGAUUCCCAUGAAAAAUUUGUUACAGGGAAAAACAUUUGUAAGCCUUAGUCCAUUCAGCUUUAGGAUCACUAACAAGACACAGAGGCUCUUUGGAAGGUUUGUACCUUGGUUUAUUUUGCUAACAUAUUCUGGUCCUAGUUUAGUGGGACUGACCCAGAGUGAGCUUUAACCCAGGCUGUUAACACUCUGGACAACUAGUGAAGAGGAAGAGAGAAGGCAUUUCCCAGGGCUGCCAUGUGCCACUCGGGGUACUGGGCCUUGAGGACAGUGUGGAGUCCUUUGUCUUUGGCCAUUUCCCUUCCAUGCCUGAGCAUUGUGGGGUUGGAGACACCAGCCAUCUUCCAGCCUGUGGUGUCGACACUCAGGUGGUCAGCACCAGUCAUGGCUGCCAUCACACCUGUGCACCAGCAUCCUCUAGUCAGCUGCAGUGUCUGCAUACUUGGCCUCCAUAACUUUUCUCAGCUUUUGAAAUAGGCUGAUUGAACCUGAGAUCAGACCUUCCUGAGCAAGGUCAAGAGGGUACAAACGGGGAGGUAAGGCAUAUUAAAUGGGUAGUCAGAGUAGACAAGCCUUGAGGGAAAUGGAGCAGGUUCUUCAUCCUAGAAGUCAUAUUAAAUGGAUGCUUAAUUGUCUAAUUCAGGAUGGUUCUCCGGAAUGAGGUACUAACAAGGGGAAGAACCCUACAUCUUGGCUCCAGGUCCUUAUCUCAGACUUAAGGUCACAGUUCCUGAAGCAUGUUGGAGUGAAUGCUGGUCCCAAAAAUGUUUAAGGAGGUAAAGGGUUCCAUAGUCAAAUUGGUCUGAGAAACACUUGCCUAUUGCCUUAGAUGAUUUGCAGUAAACAUCCUGAAAAUUCCUAGAAUAAACAAAACCUGUUCAACCCAUUAUUUUCAAGAACAGAACUUUUCAGGGAGCCUUAAAAAAUCGCAUCAAUUGAAGAAUAUUCUAUGUGCUCCAUGCAGUGCACAUUAGGAAAAUCAGGCUCAAGGGCUUCUUGAACUGAAGCAGUCAGUGGGGAGUUAUUUCUUGUGUCUUCCCAGCCCUGUUCCUUCUUUCAGUGAAGGUUCUCUGUGUCUUCUUUGAGCAAUGCUCCUCCCCUCUCCCCUGCACCAUCUGUCUCCCAGAUAUUUGUUCUUGGUGGUGAGGAGAGAGGGAGGCUGUCAGACAUGGACCCUAGUCCCAUGCAUAGCCCCAGGGGCUGUACCUGACACAGGGAGGGCCAAAGCAGUGCUUAAUCAAGACUUUGAGCCAGUACCGAGGAGAAGAGCACUUCCCUUUCUGAAGUUAUAGCAGACAAAAUGUGAGCUUGAGAGCUGCCAUCUACUACAGAACCCACCUAGUAAUAAAAAUUGGUUAGAAAAAACCUGCCAAUAUGCAAAAAGGGCAGACAUGAGGGGCACCUAGUUAGGGCCUA
Homo sapiens (human) is the source of this 11967-nucleotide long non-coding RNA. RefSeq lists it as uncharacterized. The record is from RefSeq and is a predicted model, not a curated record. The transcript has 3 exons. Lineage: Eukaryota; Metazoa; Chordata; Mammalia; Primates; Hominidae.